CCCUUAGAUGUUCUGGGCCGCACGCGUGCUACACUGAGUGGAUCAGCGGGUCAGGUUGCGCGAAAGUGUUUCCUAAUCUUGAAAUCCGCUCGUGAUGGGGAUUGACGGUUGCAAUUUUCCGUCAUGAACGAGGAAUACCUUGUAAGCGCGGGUCAUCAUCCCGCGCUGAAUACGUCCCUGCCCUUUGUACACACCGCCCGUCGCUCCUACCGAUUGAGUGGUCCGGUGAGGCUUUGGGAUCCGAGCAAAAAGAGCGUUUCGCUCGUUUGGCUCGGAAAACUCAGUCGAACCUUAUCAUUUAGAGGAAGGAGAAGUCGUAACA
This 322-nucleotide ribosomal RNA is filed under the name uncultured eukaryote. RNAcentral describes it as "partial 18S ribosomal RNA". It matches the Rfam family "Eukaryotic small subunit ribosomal RNA", at positions 1470 to 1796 of the family's 1831-position model. The record is from RNAcentral.